Molecule: ribosomal RNA, 449 nt
Filed under: uncultured bacterium
Lineage: Bacteria
Description: partial 16S ribosomal RNA
Rfam family: Bacterial small subunit ribosomal RNA
Source: RNAcentral
AAUGAACGCUGGCGGCAGGCCUAACACAUGCAAGUCGAACGGGUCCUUCGGGACUAGUGGCGGACGGGUGAGUAACGCGUGGGAACAUACCCUUUGGUACGGAAUAGCCUCGGGAAACUGAGAGUAAUACCGUAUGUGCCCUUCGGGGGAAAGAUUUAUCGCCAAAGGAUUGGCCCGCGUUGGAUUAGGUAGUUGGUGGGGUAAUGGCCUACCAAGCCGACGAUCCAUAGCUGGUUUGAGAGGAUGAUCAGCCACACUGGGACUGAGACACGGCCCAGACUCCUACGGGAGGCAGCAGUGGGGAAUCUUAGACAAUGGGGGAAACCCUGAUCUAGCCAUGCCGCGUGAUCGAUGAAGGCCUUAGGGUUGUAAAGAUCUUUCAGUUGGGAAGAUAAUGACGGUACCAACAGAAGAAGCCCCGGCUAACUCCGUGCCAGCCGCCGCCGUAA